Molecule: non-coding RNA, 5353 nt
Organism: Vigna umbellata (rice bean)
Lineage: Eukaryota; Viridiplantae; Streptophyta; Magnoliopsida; Fabales; Fabaceae
Source: RefSeq, a predicted model, not a curated record
AGAUAUUUUCUUCUCUCUCUACCACGUUUCCACCGUUGUAAUAGUACCAUGCCCUUCUUCAAACCAGACUCAUCUUAUGAGAAAAGCUGAUGAGUGAUUCUCUUCUAAUCUGUGAAUCAUUCAAAAUGAAAAACCAUUCGAUCAUUCUCUUCGCCGAUCGCGCUCGUGCUUCGCUUGUCGUCGCCAAACACACGUUCUGUGACCUAACGUGGAGAAUGAGGAAGCUAUAGAAUAGAGACGGAUCUGCCAAGGUUGUUCUAUUGCAUGAUUGAAGCAUCCGCAAGAAAAGCUCCUUUUUUUGUUAUUAUUGGCAAUCUGAUACUGAUUUUAUGUGCCAAUAGUUCACAAAAAUUGUAAGUGCUGCACCAUGCCUUGCCAUUGCUCUUUUCAGUUGCAUUAUGCACUAUGAUUAUUUUUACCUUUGAAACGAUAUUCUAUUCUAUACAGUAAGCCUUCUGAGUCCAGAAGAUAAUAUCCUUAAUUACCAGUGUAAUAUUGUUUGCUCUAGUGGCACUUGACUGGGAUGAUAGGGGAGAUACAGUUUAGUCCCACUUGACAUGUGGAUAUGUGAUUAACAUUAUAUGCAGAAUCUUUAGAUAUUGCAAGUACAAAUACGUAAAUUUGUUAGAUUGUGAAAAUUAGAAUUAUGUGCUAUCAGCCAUAAGGAAAGUCUAGUUGUUUGAUUCAGAAAGAUGAUUUACCUUUUUAAGUGUAAAUUUAGGUCUGCUUCUCUGAAUUUCAAUUUUCUUGUUAUGCAGUUGAUAAGUUUAUGUUUCUGUUUCAUGUUUAAGCUUUGCAUUAAGCAGGCACAUGGUGUUGCAGAAUACAUUGGUUUGUAUGAUUUGGGGAUAUUGAUUUCCUCUUCAUUGUUAGCAAUACUUUUUUAUAAUUCAUUUUGAAGAAUCAUCAGUCAUACUUAUGUGUCACUUACUUUCUGACCUACAUAGUUCCCAAUGUGUUUUGGAUUACUUAUUAUAUGUAUAGGUGUAGGUGGUUGUGUUCUGAAUUGGAUUUAAUUGGGCACGAAAUAUGUAUUUAGAGUUUAUAGCAAAAAACACCAGGCUCAAUUGUUGAUAUUUUUAUUGCUUAAACUUUACAAGGGCAAUCAUUAUGUCUAAUCCUUAACAGUAAUCAUAAGCUUCUUGAUAGAUAAUCUCGUACCAUACAUGCAUUAUAGAGUUGAAUGGAACAAAUGCGGUUGAGGAACUACAAGACCCAACUCGUGGAAAGUCUGACCAUUCUAGGCAGAAGUUGUAACAGUUGCUUCUUGUCACAAAAUGACAAAUCCCCGUUUACUGAACAAUUUUUUGCUAAUGCAGCUGCAAUCUGGCACAGAGAUUAAGUUUUUAGUGUCUUGUGAAAUUGAAAACAAAAAAUAUUGACUUGAUUUAUUAUCAGUUUGAGGGAAUACCCGAGUUUCAUUACUUUGGCUGAUGGUUCACUGUAUUGAGUCUGUGGCUGACUUAGCUGGAGACUGAUUGGUGGACGUAAUUCAUAUUCAUUUCUGACCAUGUAAGAAGGACUGGAUGCCACAUUUUCUUCACCUGUACUCCUGCUUCCGAAAACCUAAAAGCCAAAUCUUCUGUUUAGGUUUAUCUAAUAAAGGAAACUUUAAGCCUUUAGCUUAGAUAAUUAGAACUAAGCUCAAUAAAUGAGGAAAAUAUGUUUGACAUGGCCCUAUCCACAUGAAGUGUCAGUUUAUGUACUGACUUGUUCAUUGUACAAGCCUUUGUUAGUCUUAGGCAUGCGUUUAUGUAAAGAUGAAAUAAUAGUUUUUUGAAUUAUAGUGUGCUGGAUCAUUUACCUUCUUCUGUAGCUCUGCAUUUUCCUUUUGAAUCUGGUCCAUUUUUUGAUAGAGUUCAACAUUGUCCUGAUGAAUGAGAUUUCCCUACAAUGGCAUUAAUGACAAUUGGUCAGAAUUUUUAGGAAAACCUUAGUAAAUAUCGGGAAGAAUGAAACGAGACUCCUAAAAAACCUUUUGGCGCAGUUCUUUAAUCUCACUUGUUAAAAUUUGAUCCUGGAGGGAAAUAGAUGAUAAUGCAAGUUAUAAAUUUUCCAUAAAAGGAUGAAAUCUUAAAGGGAAGAGGUUUAAUUUGAACUGAACCAUCAUACCUUUUUCAUGCGAACACCCUUUAGACUCAUCUCCAGUUGGUUUUCCAGAUUUUGUAGUUCUUUGAUACCCAAACCCGUAAGUUCUUCACCCAUUAAUUGCCUGCUAUUGCCAAAAGAAACAAAAAUUGAAAUGCUUUCUCAAUGUUAGAUUGGUUUAUCACUUAGCAGAAAAAAUAUCGUGAGUUUCUGAAAUUAGUUUUUUAGCAUUUAUGUAAUUUGUGUAAGAAACUAAGCUGUCCAUUAGCACUUUAUAAAAAUAUCAAUAAGUUUUUCAAGAUGGUAUCACGUUGUUAACUGAUAUAAAACUCUACAGAGUCUGUAGAACAAAUUUGUUUGAUUUACCAUACGAUUGUUUCCGGUGAUGAGCUAUUGAAUCAACCUUUUUGGGUCUUGUAACAUCUUCAUUUCAUACAGACCAGGGGUGCCGUAAGCGUUUGACAUGGACAGAUUGACAUACUAACAAAUGACAAAUAUGUAAAUUACUUUUUAAUAUAUUUAAGUUCAUUCUCUGGAAAUGGUUGGAGAGAGAAAAAGAAGUAAAGGUGGAUUCAAUUUUCUUUUUUGGAUCUUGUAAUGGAGAUUAAGAAAGGCGGAUGAUAAAAUUUGCCAUUUUCCUUUUCCCUAUUUUAUGCCCUUAGUUUUUUUUUCCUUCCCGAAAGACGCGUUGUAGAAUUUGGAUUUGUAAAGUGAUGUAACGCGUUGAAGAAUUGAAGAAAGGUGCCUUUGUAAAUUUAACCCACUAGUUUAAAUCAAUCGUUGAUAGAUAUUCAUUACUUGGUCACUUCACAUAUCUCUUUACUGGAGUCAACUCUGAUGAAAUAACCUGUUCGAUUGCAUAUCUAUGGAUUGCUUAUAUAGUGCAUUUAUGCAACUAAUGGGUGUUAGUUUAUUUAUAUUUUUACCUGUGGCAUUCUUGCAAAUACUGAAGCUGUUUCCUCAAGUUUGCUGCUUCUGUCUGCCAAAACUAGCAAGAAGAGAAAUACAGAUAUCAAUUAAACAGUUAUUACUUAAGGAGAUUAUUUUAAAUCUAAGAAUUGCCGGCUAGACAAUUUGAGGACUAACAUUGUUAAUUUAGAGUUGAAAACCAAUGUGAGAAUGCUUUUUAAGUCUAAAAUUAUUGCUGAUAUGGUCCUGUACAUUAUUAUUCUGCUGCAUGUAGUGUUGUUUGUUCUAACCUUGUAUUUGAUAAUCUCCCUAAGUAUAUUGUUUCACUAAUAGUAGACUUCAGUUAGGUUAUUAAGUUACAUUUUCAUGUUCAAGGAAGAUGAGCUUUGUGAAGUUAGUUUGUACCUGUCAGUUAUCUUAUGUUGGUUUGUAUUUUUCUUGGAUAAUUUUAGUUUCUUAAAUUUUCUGCCAAUUUCUCAUAUUGCCUAUAAUAUCUGUUAUUGUCCUCUUUACAUCAUCAUUCCUUUGUUCGUCAUAAUAAGUUGGUGAACUAGGGUUCGCCAGUAACGAUUCAUUCCUUUGUUCGCAAUUAUGAUCCAGUCUAGCAAUUGGUAUCAAAGCUGCAUUUCGAACUUAUGGGUAUUGCAAACAAAUAAAGAUUUUAAGCCUUUAUGGUUUGUAUGAGAAAUGGGCACAAGAUUGAAAUCGGUGGAUAGAUGUUUUGAGGAAGAAUGCAUAUCGGGGAAAGAUAGGAAGGAGCGACAGAUCCACUGCAAGGUGCAAGAGGUCCGACUCAAGGAAGUUGAGGAAAUGGUUGAAUGAUUGAUAUUCUUGUUGUUCAAAUUGUAGCGAGCGGGCAUCGAACUACGCAGAAUGUCACAUCUCAGAAUGAGGAGUCCACGACAAUUGUUUAGGGAUCAAUAGAGAAAACUUCAACUUUAGAUUCCCAUUUCGUAAUGUUGGGAGAAGACGCAUUCAGGUGGACCAGUGGGCUGGGAGUUGGAACGGUAAUUUUGCAUCAAAGAAGCAACAAGUGAAAGCAAGCUCUAUGGUUGCGCUAGAGGGUUGAGCUUUGGGUUGGUUUCAUGGUGGGGUAAUUACAACCCACAUACUUUUUGGGAGCAAUUCAAGGCAACGCUAUAAAGAGAUUCUAACCCUUGAUAAAAAAUCCCUUUUGAAAUCUGAUAGGCAGGCACCCAGAUUUUAUUUAAACUGUAAAGACUUCCAAGACAGGUUCUUGGAUGUUCACCAAGAAAAACCAGACAGCUUUAUUAACAAUGAAACAAACACAAUAAUCCAAACUGUUACACUAUCCUUGGUCUUUCGAGAGGAUCAGACUCUCCCUAGCCUUCCCUUUACAAACUUCCUAAAAAAUUGCUAAAAACAACUGUCUACAAAGUAUGAGACAACAAAACCUAUCCAUAGACAGUUGUCCCUUUUAUUUUUCCUAAUAUAAACAUUUCCUUUGAAUCUAUCAAAAUCUUUCUAUAUCUGCUGCAAAUAGAGGUGGUUGUAGAUAUGGUUGAAAAUUUUCUCAGAUAUCCAGAGCUUUUGUAGGGAAAUUGAGCAACAUUUUAUGUGUAUUUUCUUGAACUGAUUAAAAGAGGAGGUGCAAACAGAGGUGAGACUUUGUGAUCUGUGGUCUCUCAAAUUGAUAGAGAAGGCAGUGAUUACAACCCGCAUACUUCUUGGGAGCAAUUCAAGGCAACGCUAUAAAGAGAUUCUAACCCUUCUUGAUAAAAAAAUCCCUUUUGAAAUCUCAUAGGUACCCAGAUUUUAUUAAAACUGUAAAGACUUCCAAGACAGGUUCUUGGAUGUUCACCCAGAAAAACCAGACAGCUUUAUUAAUAAUGAAAUAAGCACAGUAAUCCAAACUGUUACACUAUCCCUGGUCUUUCGAGAGGAUCAGACUCUCCCUAGCCUUCCCUUUACAAAACUUCCUAAAAAACUGCUAAAAACAAUUGUCUACACAGACUUUAUAAAAGUAUGAGACAACAAAACCUACCAUAGACAAUUGUCCCUUUUAUUUCUCCUAAUAUAAACAUUUCCUUUGAACCUAUCAAAAUCUUUCUAUAUCUGUUACAAAUAGAGGUGGUUGUAGAUAUGGUUGAAAAUUUUCUAAGAUAUCCAGAGCUUUUAUAGGGAAAUUGAGCAACAUUUUAUGUGUAUUUUCUUGAACUGAUUAAAAGAGGAGGUGCAAACAGAAGUGGGACUUUGUGAUGUGUGGUCUCUCAAAUUGAUAGAGAAGGCAGUGAUGGUAGACAAGAAUCAAGUAUUGGCAAAAGAGGUUGACAUGAAAAGUGAAGUGACGUACUCUAAAAGUGGGGUGAAAUUGUGAGAUCAAGUACUGUACUUA